AGCAGAAUAGUUUUUACAAAGUUUUCUGACCUUCUUUCCUAUAGACUUUUUUUUUUCUCCCCUAACUGGCUUAUAAGAGCUUUUUGUAUAUUCGAAUAUUGCAAAUAUACUUUCUGGGUUGUUGAUCUGGAUUAUGCCUUUUUGGUAUAGACUUUUAAGCAUUACAUAGUUAACUCUCUUUUACUGAUCUGGCAGGUGUGUUCUCAUGAGCACUUUGCAUGACCAGCAUUUGCAUUGAUAGACUUCGCUUCUGUGGUCUAUAACUGAGCUAUGAUGUCAUUAAAUAUGAGCUCUUUACCUGGAAUUUGUUCUCAGACGUGGCAUCCCAAAUGCGAUGAUGGUUGAGAGGAGGCGUCUAGGAUGCCCUGAAAGGUUUUCUGUGCUAACCUGCUAGUCUGAGGGCGGGAUGGGAACUCGAGACGUUUAGAAGGGAGGUUUCCUUGCAAAGUGUUAAUGACACUGGGAGCAUUACCUGCCUAUGGGUGAACAUGGAUCAACCAACCAGCUUUCCUAUUUUGAAAAUGCUUAUUUGCUGAAGACAUUUGGGCACUGAUGGCUGUUUGCGGUGUUUUAACAGAGGAUGAAGAGUACCCUAACCUUGGCACCAGCACUGGUUAAGAUGUCUGGUAUUGUCACUGUCAGCUUCACUCCCAAAUUAUUCCGUAGACAUGUAGGAGAGAAACUGGUCAGACAGCCUCAUGUGUCUUUGCCUUACCUGCAUACCUGUUUCGGUUGAUAAGACGUUUAGGCAAGACACAGCUGCUGGAGAAAGCUUGAUGGCAUGGUUUAGGGUUUGUUGAUGUUAAUAUUAUUGUUAAGGAGGAUUUAAUGAGCCGGAUGGUGUUCUGGGCACUUUACAUGAAUUAGCUCAUUUAGUCCCCAUUUCUCAGAUAAGGAAACUGAGACUGGAAAAGAGAGGCAUCUUGGCUCAAAUCAUCUAGUUAAGUGAAUAGUAGAAUGAAGAUUCUAAAUCAUUUUUUCCCCUGAAACCCAAGACUCUUGAGAACUAUCAAAGGAAUUCAGAAAUGGAACAGCUUUGAAACCAUAGCUAUCUUUGCAAAACCUGGGAGGAAUAGUCCAAAAAUAAGGGGAAGGCACUGCCUUAUCUAGAGCCACGAGGGAUCUGUAGCAGCUGCAGUACGAAAUAAAAGCUAGUCCCGGCAUCAGAAGAUUCACCACAAACUUGACAGUAUUUUCUGACUGUUAGAAUUUUUGGCUACAAAACAGGAAAUAUUUCUCCAAAGCACAGCACUUGAGAAAAUGUGACAUGCCAUGAGGAAACUGGUGAAACAACAGUCACCCAGAUGAUCCAAAAGCGAGGUAAGACGAGCUGAUGUUGACACGGAAGCUGACAGUGUCUGUAAAAUCCGACUAUGUGCUGACUCAAGGAAGUGCAACCAAAUGUGUACUUUCUGAGUGAGCCCUGGGUGUGUGUGUGUGAGUGAAAAUGUCUCUCUCCCCUGAAGGUAGGAAGGAAGAUUGGAUGGUCCAGGAAUAUAUCCAGGAGCAGAAAAAGGCAGGUGUAUCAACUUCCAGCGAUGUUUGGUUAACCUCUUAGGAAGUGUGUUUUGAGGGCUUUGAAACUAUCAGACCAGUUGCUGUGGUGUUUGUUGUUGUUGUUUUAAUUUAGUCACUUCGGCAUUCCAUGGGAAUGUCAUCCUUUUCCUUUUGCCGUAGAACAGUUUAAAAUUCAUGUCUGUGGUUGUAGACUAUGAUUAAUAUUCAAUGUGUCUGACCUUGGUGCUCUCCGAUUGGUCUAUAGAAAAGCGAUACAAAAUAGCCAUUUAUAAAAUUACCCUUAAACCUAUGUUUGUUUUUACUUCUUAACUUUGCAAUAACACAUAGGCCCCCGUAUGUACUUUUACUCUAGAGUCAUUACAUAUUUCUUUUUCUUUUUUUGUUUUUUUGGGCCACAUCCGUGACACACGGAGGUUCCCAGGCUAGGGAUUGAAUUGAAGCUGCAUCUGCGACCUACACCACAGUUCACAGCAAGGCCAGCUCCUUAACCCACUGAGGCAGCCAGGGAUUGAACCUGUGUCUUCAUGGAUACUGGCAGGGUUUGUUACCACUGCACCACGGUGGGAACUCCCUAGUAACCAUUGUUCACAUCUUAGAAGUAAAUCUGACAAUUGAACAUUGAGCCUAAAAGUGAACCUUCUUUAACUUUAGAAUUUAAAGCUCAGAGGACGUUAAUGCUCGGAUGGGGUUCUCCACCACCACCAACAAACUCCAUGAAAACCGAUGGCUUGUAUCAUUGUGGGAUAUUGUUGCUGUGCAUUUCCAUAAUAAAAACACUAAAAAAGACAAGAUGCUAUAAAACAAAUGAAAAACAUGAGUCCUAGAGGCAUCGAUGAUAAAAAUGUAAAUAUAUGAAAAUAACUCACAGCUUCUUUGAGCCGUUAUGUUGAAACCAAAUCAAACACUUCAGAAAAUGUCAAAUUGGAGGAUUUGCAUGUGUCAGUUUUCAUUAGGGAUUUUCACCUCCCCACUGCCAGCUUAGAUAAAGCCUGUGCUUGGAUAGACCCAAUCGCCUGCCAAAACGGAAGAAAUGGACUCAAAAGGGAGUAAACAAAACCUCUGCAAAAGCCCCUGUAUGAGCUGGCAUCACAGCCAAGACAGCCACUGGAAACAAGAAGUUGUUCCGAUGCACUUGCCCUUGAGAUGACCUUUCGAGUGUGACUCUCGUCUGCUUGGGGCUGGUAAGAAGCUACUCCCCUGCUCAUCUUCUGAUAAUCAAAGAAGGCUUGAGCCUCCAUGGUAGUUAAUUAAUUCCUUUAAGUCCACACUCAUGUAAUGUAUUUGAUCCAGAUUUGAUUAGGAAGAUGGAUGGUAGUUAAAAAAAAAAAAAAAGAUUUUGUUAUGCUGAAAUUACCUUUUUAAUGAAAAAUACUUGCUUUCCUGAAAAUGUUUUAUUUACUAUUUUUCUUUGUUAAAAAUAGAGUUCCCUUGUGGCUCAGCUGGUUAAGGAUCCCCUGUUGUCAUUGCUCUGGUUACAGCUGUGGUGGAUUUGAUCCCUGGCGCCAGGGACUUAAGCAUGCUGUGAGGUCAGCCAAAAAAAUAGAAUAGUCUCAACUAUCUAUUACUUCAAUUAUUUCUAGUUAGAUGUUGAGUUUAGAACUGUGUCCUAAACUUCAAAACUUAACAACAAAGAAAAUUGUGGAGUUCCCACUGUGGCUCAGCAGGUUAAGAACCUGAUGUAGCCUCUGUAAGGAUGCGGGUUCAGUCCCUGGCCUUGAUCAUUAAGGAUCUGGCAUUGCCACAUCCUGCAGCGUAGGUCGCAGAUGCGGCUGGGAUCUGGCAUUGCAAAAAGAAAAAAAUAAGUAAAAACUUAAAAAAUGAUGAUGCAGGAUAGUUUUUUUUCUUGUAAUUCAAAGUGGAAUAAAGAAAAGGUAGCAAAGAGGCUCUUUUUAUUCUAAUCCCAUCUAUCACCUGCUUUUCUUCCCAGUCAUUACUUGAAAAUUGGUGAGAGGCAGGCAGCUCUUGCUGUUUUCUUAAAAACUUUCUUGACGCAGUUUUAGGUUUACACUGACGUUGCAAGGAAGGCGGGCAACAUCGCAUGUUUUCCCUGCUCUUGUCACUUUUCAUCCUUUCCUUUGCUUCAAGCCCCGAAGUCAGAAAACCCACGGGUGAGAGGUUCACUCAGGAAUGACUUUGGGGAAUCGAACCACAGACAGGAACUGGUGAUGUGAUCAGGGGAGAGUCAGAAUGCUCCCUACCGUGUGUGGUGGAGGAGAUUUAAAAAAAACAACACCUCUGUGUCUUUGAUCUGAGUUGGAAGCUUGAAUGGAACAAGUGCAUUGAUAAAUCAAUUCAGUGUGUUUUCUGCAGGAAGUACAAUGCGUUUCAUGUCGAACACACACUAGGCAUACUCAUCCAGGAAUUUAUCAUCUUUGUUCCCACCCAAAUGUUUCAAAUGAAAACGCCCAAGACAUUAGAACGUCAUAUAUGAAUAAUCGAUAUCAAUGCUGCUUUCCAAGAAAUCCUCAUUUACUUAAUGUUUGAUCCCCGUUUCAGUCGUUUCUCCCCAUCUGGCAGUUGUCACUUGGGCAGAUGGCCACCAGCUGGGAGGGCAGCCUGUCUGCCUCCCUCAGGACCCGAGGGGCUCAGUAGACCCCAUGUGCAAGUGCACUGCGUAGACCCCAUGUGCAAGCUCAACCCGCCACCACCAGAAAGCUCCCAGAGGCACCUGCUUUAUGCAUCUGGGAUCUUACGUUACUUUUUUUUUUUUAAAUGGGUAUGCUAUUUUAUUAACACUUAAAAUUUCACU
Molecule: long non-coding RNA, 4267 nt
Filed under: Sus scrofa (pig)
Lineage: Eukaryota; Metazoa; Chordata; Mammalia; Artiodactyla; Suidae
Description: lncRNA (ENSSSCG00030004188.1)
Source: RNAcentral